UGCUGCUCCUUCCAUCCCCACCUCCUUCUAUCUCCACACAUGCUGCUUUCCCGUCCAUCUCCACCUCCCCAGCUCCCUCCCUCCCUCCCUCGCUCCCUUCCUUGAGCGCGGCCGCCCAAGCCUACUUUGCCGCUGCGAGCUACGAUGAGGAUGGCGGCUUCCUGGAACAACGACCAGGGCCACUGCGCGGCGAGCUGCAACGGCGACACCCACGGUCGCCGGCUGCGGGGACUACUGGCGCUAGAAGUUGCAACCUUGUCGUGGGGAGCUGCAACCGGCAAUGCCGGGAGCUACAACCUCGUGUUGGCGGAGCACUAGGGCUCGCCGGUCACCACGAUCAUCAUCGAUUCUUUGCUACAGUCGGUGUCAAAAUUUGCUACAACAGAGAUCAAGAGAAUAAGAGGAGAACUCACUGGCUUGCCUGGGAAAAUUGACUACACCUAAAGGUGAAGGAGGUUAACACAGAGUCCCUGUGAUUUGGUUUCACCCAUUAAAGAUGACCCCUAAACAUAUAUGAAGACAUUGAAGAUAAUGCUGGUACGCGAAGACUUUCGCUUGAAGACAAUGAAGCGCGAACACAUAGUCUUUUGGUAGUUUCAUUUUCUUCUUUCUUGUGUAUUAAGAACCAUCGUAUUGCUAAGUGGGGUCGAGGUUAAUGAAGUCAGAAACUGACGUUAUACUCAACCUAAAAUCCUAUGUCCUC
Triticum dicoccoides is the source of this 703-nucleotide long non-coding RNA. RefSeq lists it as uncharacterized. The record is from RefSeq and is a predicted model, not a curated record. The transcript has 3 exons. NCBI's taxonomy places the organism in Eukaryota, Viridiplantae, Streptophyta, Magnoliopsida, Poales, Poaceae.